UUAAGCGACUAAGCGUACACGGUGGAUGCCCUGGCAGUCAGAGGCGAUGAAGGACGUGCUAAUCUGCGAUAAGCGUCGGUAAGGUGAUAUGAACCGUUAUAACCGGCGAUUUCCGAAUGGGGAAACCCAGUGUGAUUCGUCACACUAUCAUUAACUGAAUCCAUAGGUUAAUGAGGCGAACCGGGGGAACUGAAACAUCUAAGUACCCCGAGGAAAAGAAAUCAACCGAGAUUCCCCCAGUAGCGGCGAGCGAACGGGGAGCAGCCCAGAGCCUGAAUCAGUGUGUGUGUUAGUGGAAGCGUCUGGAAAGGCGCGCGAUACAGGGUGACAGCCCCGUACACAAAAAUGCACAUGCUGUGAGCUCGAUGAGUAGGGCGGGACACGUGGUAUCCUGUCUGAAUAUGGGGGGACCAUCCUCCAAGGCUAAAUACUCCUGACUGACCGAUAGUGAACCAGUACCGUGAGGGAAAGGCGAAAAGAACCCCGGCGAGGGGAGUGAAAAAGAACCUGAAACCGUGUACGUACAAGCAGUGGGAGCACGCUUAGGCGUGUGACUGCGUACCUUUUGUAUAAUGGGUCAGCGACUUAUAUUCUGUAGCAAGGUUAACCGAAUAGGGGAGCCGAAGGGAAACCGAGUCUUAACUGGGCGUUAAGUUGCAGGGUAUAGACCCGAAACCCGGUGAUCUAGCCAUGGGCAGGUUGAAGGUUGGGUAACACUAACUGGAGGACCGAACCGACUAAUGUUGAAAAAUUAGCGGAUGACUUGUGGCUGGGGGUGAAAGGCCAAUCAAACCGGGAGAUAGCUGGUUCUCCCCGAAAGCUAUUUAGGUAGCGCCUCGUGAAUUCAUCUCCGGGGGUAGAGCACUGUUUCGGCAAGGGGGUCAUCCCGACUUACCAACCCGAUGCAAACUGCGAAUACCGGAGAAUGUUAUCACGGGAGACACACGGCGGGUGCUAACGUCCGUCGUGAAGAGGGAAACAACCCAGACCGCCAGCUAAGGUCCCAAAGUCAUGGUUAAGUGGGAAACGAUGUGGGAAGGCCCAGACAGCCAGGAUGUUGGCUUAGAAGCAGCCAUCAUUUAAAGAAAGCGUAAUAGCUCACUGGUCGAGUCGGCCUGCGCGGAAGAUGUAACGGGGCUAAACCAUGCACCGAAGCUGCGGCAGCGACACUAUGUGUUGUUGGGUAGGGGAGCGUUCUGUAAGCCUGUGAAGGUGUACUGUGAGGUAUGCUGGAGGUAUCAGAAGUGCGAAUGCUGACAUAAGUAACGAUAAAGCGGGUGAAAAGCCCGCUCGCCGGAAGACCAAGGGUUCCUGUCCAACGUUAAUCGGGGCAGGGUGAGUCGACCCCUAAGGCGAGGCCGAAAGGCGUAGUCGAUGGGAAACAGGUUAAUAUUCCUGUACUUGGUGUUACUGCGAAGGGGGGACGGAGAAGGCUAUGUUGGCCGGGCGACGGUUGUCCCGGUUUAAGCGUGUAGGCUGGUUUUCCAGGCAAAUCCGGAAAAUCAAGGCUGAGGCGUGAUGACGAGGCACUACGGUGCUGAAGCAACAAAUGCCCUGCUUCCAGGAAAAGCCUCUAAGCAUCAGGUAACAUCAAAUCGUACCCCAAACCGACACAGGUGGUCAGGUAGAGAAUACCAAGGCGCUUGAGAGAACUCGGGUGAAGGAACUAGGCAAAAUGGUGCCGUAACUUCGGGAGAAGGCACGCUGAUAUGUAGGUGAAGCGACUUGCUCGUGGAGCUGAAAUCAGUCGAAGAUACCAGCUGGCUGCAACUGUUUAUUAAAAACACAGCACUGUGCAAACACGAAAGUGGACGUAUACGGUGUGACGCCUGCCCGGUGCCGGAAGGUUAAUUGAUGGGGUCAGCGCAAGCGAAGCUCUUGAUCGAAGCCCCGGUAAACGGCGGCCGUAACUAUAACGGUCCUAAGGUAGCGAAAUUCCUUGUCGGGUAAGUUCCGACCUGCACGAAUGGCGUAAUGAUGGCCAGGCUGUCUCCACCCGAGACUCAGUGAAAUUGAACUCGCUGUGAAGAUGCAGUGUACCCGCGGCAAGACGGAAAGACCCCGUGAACCUUUACUAUAGCUUGACACUGAACAUUGAGCCUUGAUGUGUAGGAUAGGUGGGAGGCUUGGAAGUGUGGACGCCAGUCUGCAUGGAGCCGACCUUGAAAUACCACCCUUUAAUGUUUGAUGUUCUAACGUUGACCCGUGAUCCGGGUUGCGGACAGUGUCUGGUGGGUAGUUUGACUGGGGCGGUCUCCUCCUAAAGAGUAACGGAGGAGCACGAAGGUUGGCUAAUCCUGGUCGGACAUCAGGAGGUUAGUGCAAUGGCAUAAGCCAGCUUGACUGCGAGCGUGACGGCGCGAGCAGGUGCGAAAGCAGGUCAUAGUGAUCCGGUGGUUCUGAAUGGAAGGGCCAUCGCUCAACGGAUAAAAGGUACUCCGGGGAUAACAGGCUGAUACCGCCCAAGAGUUCAUAUCGACGGCGGUGUUUGGCACCUCGAUGUCGGCUCAUCACAUCCUGGGGCUGAAGUAGGUCCCAAGGGUAUGGCUGUUCGCCAUUUAAAGUGGUACGCGAGCUGGGUUUAGAACGUCGUGAGACAGUUCGGUCCCUAUCUGCCGUGGGCGCUGGAGAACUGAGGGGGGCUGCUCCUAGUACGAGAGGACCGGAGUGGACGCAUCACUGGUGUUCGGGUUGUCAUGCCAAUGGCACUGCCCGGUAGCUAAAUGCGGAAGAGAUAAGUGCUGAAAGCAUCUAAGCACGAAACUUGCCCCGAGAUGAGUUCUCCCUGAC
This 2790-nucleotide ribosomal RNA is filed under the name Escherichia coli. Its description in RNAcentral is "bacterial LSU rRNA". It matches the Rfam family "Bacterial large subunit ribosomal RNA". The record is from RNAcentral. Lineage: Bacteria; Pseudomonadati; Pseudomonadota; Gammaproteobacteria; Enterobacterales; Enterobacteriaceae.